CAGCAGCCGCGGGAAUACGAAGGGGGCUAGCGUUGUUCGGAAUCACUGGGCGUAAAGGGUGCGCAGGCUGGUUCUUAAGUCAGGGGUGAAAUCCCGAGGCUCAACCUCGGAACGGCCUUUGAUACUGGGAAACUUGAGUGCAGAAGAGGAGAGUGGAAUUCCACGUGUAGCGGUGAAAUGCGUAGAGAUGUGGAGGAACACCAGUGGCGUAGGCGACUCUCUGGUCUGUAACUGACGCUGAGGAGCGAAAGCGUGGGGAGCGAACAGGAUUAGAUACCCCAGUAGUCCCUGUCUCUUAUAC
This 301-nucleotide ribosomal RNA is filed under the name uncultured bacterium. Its description in RNAcentral is "partial 16S ribosomal RNA". It matches the Rfam family "Bacterial small subunit ribosomal RNA", at positions 509 to 807 of the family's 1533-position model. The record is from RNAcentral.